This 265-nucleotide ribosomal RNA is filed under the name uncultured archaeon. Its description in RNAcentral is "partial 16S ribosomal RNA". It matches the Rfam family "Archaeal small subunit ribosomal RNA", at positions 748 to 1009 of the family's 1478-position model. The record is from RNAcentral.
AGGGUGUAAACGCUGCAGACUUGGUGUUGGAGGCCCUUUUGGGGGCGAUUCAGUGCCGGAGAGAAGUUGUUAAGUCUGCUACUUGGGGAGGUACGUCCGCAAGGAUGAAACUUAAAGGAAUUGGCGGGGGAGGCACCGCAACGGGAGGAGCGUGCGGUUUAAUUGGAUCCAACACCGUAAAUCUCACCGGAUAAGACAGCGGAAUGAUUGCCGGGCUGAAGACUCUGCAUGACUAGCUGAGAGGUGGUGCAUGGCGUAGACGUCU